Molecule: unclassified non-coding RNA, 269 nt
Filed under: Hevea brasiliensis (rubber tree)
Lineage: Eukaryota; Viridiplantae; Streptophyta; Magnoliopsida; Malpighiales; Euphorbiaceae
Source: RNAcentral
AAUACGCGCUCAAUUAUAACUUAGAGCGUUUUCUAACGGCUAACCGGAUUCCACUUAGCCGGAAAACGCUCCGGGCGCGUGGUCUGCUGUCCGGAGCUGAGACGAAAAUCGACCUCAAAGACCGGGAGCGGGCAUUCCUCCAAUGACGGCGGGGACUAUGCCCUCGGCCGGCCCGCUCGGACGGCCUCGACAAUGUCGAUGGCAGCCCGGACGCCGCUCUCUAUAUCCAACUGAGAGUUAUCCAGCAAGUAUGCAUCCGGAGCUGCUUU